RNAcentral lists this non-coding RNA (499 nucleotides) under Pan troglodytes (chimpanzee). The record is from RNAcentral. Lineage: Eukaryota; Metazoa; Chordata; Mammalia; Primates; Hominidae.
CCGCACUGCCUCCGGUGGCUGCUGGGAUACCGGAGGACUCGGGUCCCGGCUCGACUCAGUCUUCCAGCCGCCCGGGGAAUACCUCUAGUUCUUCCCGGCCGCCGCCGCCUCCGCCCCGCCGCUUCCUCCUCCGCCGCCGGCCUCCUUCGCCCCGCCCGUCCGCGCAGCGCGUCCGGCCCGCCCGCAGGCCAGCUUCUCUCGGGAGCCCCCACCCAGGCUCAUGGCUCCAUGAAGCAAGAGGAGGAGGCAGAGCGCGAGAGGUCCGUCCGCCCCAGCCGCGUCUGGGCCAGGAGAAAAGCAAAACCAUAUUCCUGCUGCUGUCAGUUAUGAUGCACUGAGAAAACUUCAGAGACCUAAGCUUUUUCCAGAGAAGAGAAGCUUUACUGGUGUUCCAGCCCUAAGGCUCAUAUGACAUUAACAGACAAGACACUUUUCAGAAAGACAGGCAACGUGUUGGACCUUCCUGAGCUUCUCAGAAGACAGAGGAUUUUCUUUUGAG